This 566-nucleotide ribosomal RNA is filed under the name Talaromyces pinophilus. Its description in RNAcentral is "eukaryotic LSU rRNA". The stretch from base 202 to 355 matches the Rfam family "5.8S ribosomal RNA". The record is from RNAcentral. Lineage: Eukaryota; Fungi; Ascomycota; Eurotiomycetes; Eurotiales; Trichocomaceae.
GUGAACCUGCGGAAGGAUCAUUACCGAGUGCGGGCCCUCGCGGCCCAACCUCCCACCCUUGUCUCUAUACACCUGUUGCUUUGGCGGGCCCACCGGGGCCACCUGGUCGCCGGGGGACGCACGUCUCCGGGCCCGCGCCCGCCGAAGCGCUCUGUGAACCCUGAUGAAGAUGGGCUGUCUGAGUACUGUGAAAAUUGUCAAAACUUUCAACAAUGGAUCUCUUGGUUCCGGCAUCGAUGAAGAACGCAGCGAAAUGCGAUAAGUAAUGUGAAUUGCAGAAUUCCGUGAAUCAUCGAAUCUUUGAACGCACAUUGCGCCCCCUGGCAUUCCGGGGGGCAUGCCUGUCCGAGCGUCAUUUCUGCCCUCAAGCACGGCUUGUGUGUUGGGUGUGGUCCCCCCGGGGACCUGCCCGAAAGGCAGCGGCGACGUCCGUCUGGUCCUCGAGCGUAUGGGGCUCUGUCACUCGCUCGGGAAGGACCUGCGGGGGUUGGUCACCACCAUGUUUUACCACGGUUGACCUCGGAUCAGGUAGGAGUUACCCGCUGAACUUAAGCAUAUCAAUAAGC